RNAcentral lists this ribosomal RNA (109 nucleotides) under bacterium. The record is from RNAcentral.
UUGGGUGCCCAUGGCGCUGGGGAAAUACCUGUUCUCAUUCCGAACACAGAAGUCAAGCCCAGUAGCGGCGAUUAUACUGCGAAAGCGGGAAACUAGCACGGUGCUCAAU